Panicum virgatum (switchgrass) is the source of this 897-nucleotide long non-coding RNA. RefSeq lists it as uncharacterized. Lineage: Eukaryota; Viridiplantae; Streptophyta; Magnoliopsida; Poales; Poaceae. The record is from RefSeq and is a predicted model, not a curated record. The transcript is spliced from 2 exons.
UAGUGUACACUUGUGUAGUUGAGAAGUGGUGCUACCCUUAGCUUGUAGAGAGAGUGCUUCUUGUAUCAAGGAGAGUAGUGAGGUGAGAAGUGAAGGAUUUGGAUUUCUCUUACCCCUGAUCUUGUUAUCUCUAAGGAAGGAUAUUCUAUUCCAGGAUUGACUGGGGCCGGGCACGCCCAGCUGCUGCCGCUGCGUGUGAAGGGCUGCAGGCUCGGCGUCAAGCUCCCGCCCCGCCCCUGCCCCUGCCGCGGUCCACGCGCUGGCUUGCCGACCACACCUGGAUCUCGCCUUCCCCGGCGACGGCGUCACGGGUGACUGGUUCCGGUGCAUUGGGGACGACAACUACUGCCGCAGCAUCGAGUACGACAGGGGACGCCCCGUGUCCGCAUCCAUCUUCACCGCCGCUGCCUCAAGCUGCUGGUCCAUGGACGCGCGUCCAGGCUGAGAUGCACGCCAUGCCCCCCGCGUUUGCUGCCGCCGGCGGCGCCGCUGGUGCUUCGGCCAGUGUCGAACGAUGAGCGCGACGCCAUCCACCUCUCCGCCCACUAUGGCUGCCCAUCCACGUCCAUGUCCUCGCUCGACAGCGCGGGGUUCCGCCAAAUCUACCCACCGACAGGGACGCUGAAGUGAACGAAUAAAUGACUCGAUAGGAAUUAAUGGAAUUAGAACGUUCAGCGCGCUUUGCGCGCCCUAUAUUAUGAUCUUAAUAUUAGAUAUAAAAAAUAUCUAUAGAAAAAUAAUAGCAUAUUCUGAGAAUAUAGCAAGUGUUUAGCUGCAGGUGUUUGUUUUUUCCAAGUUGACUACUGCACCAUGUACAAAUUAGCUGCAGGUGUUUGUUUUUUUCAAGUCGACUAAAUACAUCAAGGACAAGUCUAAUAACAUAUUACAUAUGUUUUA